ACCCGCUGGACUUAAGCAUAUCACUAAGCGGAGGAAAAGAAACUAACUAGGAUUCCCCCAGUAACUGCGAGUGAAGAGGGAAGAGCUCAUCAUUGGAAUCUGGCAGUGUUGCACUGUCCGAGUUGUAGAUGAGGAGUAGUCCGUCUGGACUGCAUGGCGUCCAAGUACAAUAGGCCGUCAGUGGGACAUCAUAGAGGGUGACAAUCCCGUCCUUGACGCCAAUGUGCAAGUCUAUUACGAUGGCUAUCUCAGAGAGUCGAGCAGUUUGGGAUUUGCUGCUUAAACAUGGGAGGUAGAUUCCUUCUAAAGCUAAAUACAGGCGAGAGACCGAUAGAGAACAAGUACCGCAAGGGAAAGAUGAAAUAGCACUCUGUGAAGGGAGUCAAAAGGCGUGAAAUUGUUGCGAGAGAAGCGAUUCAAGUCAGCGUAGCUAGGCCCAUCAAGCGUCUUCGCUUUGGACUAGCUUUGCCAGCGGUCUUGUCCCUUAAAGAGACUUGACUUGUAAUAUGUCCAGCCUGGCGUGCACAGGCAGCCCCUUCUGGGGGCCAGUGGCAUGGCUGGUGGAAUGGCUUGCAAUCGACCCGUCUUGAAACACGGACCAAGGAGUCUAACAUGUAUGCGAGUAUAAGGGUGGCAAACCCGUAUGCGCAAUGAAAGUGAUUUUCGGUGAUUGAGAAUGGCCUGAUGACCAGACAAGCAAUAUAUGUCCCUCGUACGGCCAUUGCCCAAGUUCCGUGGUAGAUCCCACGAACAUGGAGUUGGAGCAUACAUGCUAGGACCCGAAAGAUGGUGAACUAUGCCUGGACAAAGCGAAGCCAAAGGAAACUCUGGUGGAGGCUUGUAGCGAUUCUGACGUGCAAAUCGAUCGUCUGAUCUGGGUAUAGGGGCGAAAGACUAAUCGAACCAUCUCAUAGCUGGUUCCUGCCGAAGUUUCCCUCAGGAUAGCAGAGACCUAGUGGAAGUUGCAUGUGGUAAAGCGAAUGAUUAUUGAUCCUGGGGCUCAAAUGGGCCUCAGUCUAUUCUCAAACUGUGAAUGCGUGCGGUUGGACUGUGCUUAUCAAUAGAAGCCCUGCCAGCAAUGCUUCAGUCUCUAGUGGGCCGUUUCUGGUAAGCAGAACUGGCGAUGCGGGAUGAACCGAAAGUGAGGUUAAAGUGCCAGAAUGCACACUAACCAGAGAUAAAAGGUGUAUGUGCAUGGACACAGCAGGGCAGUGGCCAUGGAGGUUGGCAUCUGCUAAGGAGUGUGUAACAACUCACCUGCCUAAUGUACUUGCCCUGAAAAUGGAUGGCGCUCAAGUGUGUUACUCAUACCUCGCCAUCAGUCUCCAGUGAUAACGGACUGAUGUGUAGGCAGGCGUGAAGGUCAAUCUUCGAAGCCUAGGAAGUGAUUCCAGGUGGAGAGGCCUUUAGUGCAGAUCUUGGUGGUAGUAGCAAAUAUUCAUAGUGGAAACCUUGGAGACUGAAGUGGAGAAGGGUUCCAUGGGCACCG
Molecule: ribosomal RNA, 1489 nt
Filed under: Cantharellus tuberculosporus
Lineage: Eukaryota; Fungi; Basidiomycota; Agaricomycetes; Cantharellales; Hydnaceae
Description: partial large subunit ribosomal RNA
Rfam family: Eukaryotic large subunit ribosomal RNA
Source: RNAcentral